Molecule: ribosomal RNA, 1446 nt
Filed under: Vibrio parahaemolyticus
Lineage: Bacteria; Pseudomonadati; Pseudomonadota; Gammaproteobacteria; Vibrionales; Vibrionaceae
Description: bacterial SSU rRNA
Rfam family: Bacterial small subunit ribosomal RNA
Source: RNAcentral
GGACGGGUGAGUAAUGCCUAGGAAAUUGCCCUGAUGUGGGGGAUAACCAUUGGAAACGAUGGCUAAUACCGCAUGAUGCCUACGGGCCAAAGAGGGGGACCUUCGGGCCUCUCGCGUCAGGAUAUGCCUAGGUGGGAUUAGCUAGUUGGUGAGGUAAGGGCUCACCAAGGCGACGAUCCCUAGCUGGUCUGAGAGGAUGAUCAGCCACACUGGAACUGAGACACGGUCCAGACUCCUACGGGAGGCAGCAGUGGGGAAUAUUGCACAAUGGGCGCAAGCCUGAUGCAGCCAUGCCGCGUGUGUGAAGAAGGCCUUCGGGUUGUAAAGCACUUUCAGUCGUGAGGAAGGUAGUGUAGUUAAUAGCUGCAUUAUUUGACGUUAGCGACAGAAGAAGCACCGGCUAACUCCGUGCCAGCAGCCGCGGUAAUACGGAGGGUGCGAGCGUUAAUCGGAAUUACUGGGCGUAAAGCGCAUGCAGGUGGUUUGUUAAGUCAGAUGUGAAAGCCCGGGGCUCAACCUCGGAAUUGCAUUUGAAACUGGCAGACUAGAGUACUGUAGAGGGGGGUAGAAUUUCAGGUGUAGCGGUGAAAUGCGUAGAGAUCUGAAGGAAUACCGGUGGCGAAGGCGGCCCCCUGGACAGAUACUGACACUCAGAUGCGAAAGCGUGGGGAGCAAACAGGAUUAGAUACCCUGGUAGUCCACGCCGUAAACGAUGUCUACUUGGAGGUUGUGGCCUUGAGCCGUGGCUUUCGGAGCUAACGCGUUAAGUAGACCGCCUGGGGAGUACGGUCGCAAGAUUAAAACUCAAAUGAAUUGACGGGGGCCCGCACAAGCGGUGGAGCAUGUGGUUUAAUUCGAUGCAACGCGAAGAACCUUACCUACUCUUGACAUCCAGAGAACUUUCCAGAGAUGGAUUGGUGCCUUCGGGAACUCUGAGACAGGUGCUGCAUGGCUGUCGUCAGCUCGUGUUGUGAAAUGUUGGGUUAAGUCCCGCAACGAGCGCAACCCUUAUCCUUGUUUGCCAGCGAGUAAUGUCGGGAACUCCAGGGAGACUGCCGGUGAUAAACCGGAGGAAGGUGGGGACGACGUCAAGUCAUCAUGGCCCUUACGAGUAGGGCUACACACGUGCUACAAUGGCGCAUACAGAGGGCGGCCAACUUGCGAAAGUGAGCGAAUCCCAAAAAGUGCGUCGUAGUCCGGAUUGGAGUCUGCAACUCGACUCCAUGAAGUCGGAAUCGCUAGUAAUCGUGGAUCAGAAUGCCACGGUGAAUACGUUCCCGGGCCUUGUACACACCGCCCGUCACACCAUGGGAGUGGGCUGCAAAAGAAGUAGGUAGUUUAACCUUCGGGGGGACGCUUACCACUUUGUGGUUCAUGACUGGGGUGAAGUCGUAACAAGGUAGCGCUAGGGGAACCUGGCGCUGGAUCACCUCCUUAAACGAUGAU